GGAGCAGAAUCCCAGGGGCAGUUUUUGGGCCCGUAUCUCCGAUGGAAAGUUUGGACUGACUGGAGACUGCACUGGUGCAAAGUGAUCAAGCAGGCGAAACAGGAUCAACUCAAUUGCACUUGAAAUUUGCAUCUGUCCUCUGUGGUUCACCAAAGACAGAAGGAGUCGGCCCUUUGGGAAUCCACCCUUCAUCGUUGACUGCCUCUGUGAUACGGAUUGAAAUAAGUCAUGCCUUUUUACCUUGCUUGGGUGGACUUGGGCAGCGGACCUUCGGAAGCCUGCUCUGUGAGAACGUCAAUUAGAAGCGGUGGAGACCGGAAUCACCCUUUGCUUGAUCAGAAAUGUCAGUGAGUUCCCUAGGCUGAACCUUGGUAUUCUGGGGGGAAAAUAAUAAAUAAGAAGAAUAAUUGUGA
Molecule: long non-coding RNA, 413 nt
Organism: Ornithorhynchus anatinus (platypus)
Lineage: Eukaryota; Metazoa; Chordata; Mammalia; Monotremata; Ornithorhynchidae
Exons: 2
Source: RefSeq, a predicted model, not a curated record